UUGAUGUGUUCUGACUGUGUCUUGGC
RNAcentral lists this non-coding RNA (26 nucleotides) under Homo sapiens (human). Lineage: Eukaryota; Metazoa; Chordata; Mammalia; Primates; Hominidae. The record is from RNAcentral.